This 253-nucleotide ribosomal RNA is filed under the name uncultured bacterium. RNAcentral describes it as "partial 16S ribosomal RNA". It matches the Rfam family "Bacterial small subunit ribosomal RNA", at positions 524 to 776 of the family's 1533-position model. The record is from RNAcentral.
UACGGGGGGUGCAAGCGUUGUCCGGAUUUAUUGGGUUUAAAGGGUGCGUAGGCGGUUAAGUAAGUCAGUGUUGAAAGCCAUAAGCUUAACUUAUGGACUGGCAAUGAUACUGCUUAACUUGAGUACAGUUGAGGUAUGCGGAAUUUAUGGUGUAGCGGUGAAAUGCAUAGAUACCAUAAAGAACACCGAUAGCGAAGGCAGCAUGCUAAGCUGGUACUGACGCUGAGGCACGAAAGCGUGGGGAUCAAACAGG